RNAcentral lists this long non-coding RNA (1163 nucleotides) under Felis catus (domestic cat). Its description in RNAcentral is "lncRNA (ENSFCAG00000040834.2)". Lineage: Eukaryota; Metazoa; Chordata; Mammalia; Carnivora; Felidae. The record is from RNAcentral.
GAAUAACUUAUGAGAUGAUAUGACGCCUGGGCAGCACCAGAAUUGUUAAAAAUGGACUGACAGAAAUGUAUCUGCAGUGACUCUUUUCCUACUUCAGCCUUCAAAGGAACACAGCCACCCAUAUCCAGUCUGUAUCCUGGAAAGACUUAUGACUAACCAAAGAGACGGGAGACCAUGAAAAGAGUCAGUCAUGGAUUGAAGAGAACAGACAGACAUGGUCUCCCACAGUCUGGAAGUAGUUUUAAUGAAGAACAUGAUCAACCAGAAAGCAGAAGGAGGAUGUGUAGAGGAAAUGGACAAAACAAACAAAGAAGCAAACAAAUGGUACCUGGUUGCAGUCCUGUCUUGGGUUGGCCAAGAAUGUGAAUAAAUGUUAUAUGCCUGGAUCAAAUAUUUUCCACUUUUCUCUCUCUUUUUGCACUGAGUCUGUGAGUUAGGAAGAAGUACCAGGUGUUGUAGUGGGACAUAGAUCCUGGAAUGGUCCAGGACUGACAUGAGGAAGGCUAAGGGAGCCUUGGUGAGACAUGAGAAUUGGGAAUUCGGAGAAGGGAUGUACACAUGGUUUGGUACUGAAGUUACUGCCAUUUAAUGGUUAUAUUUAUAAAUAUUUUGAUUUUGAGAAGAUUAGAAGUGGCUGAGGAGAAAUGAAAGGCUCUGAGAGUGGUCAGGCAAGUGGGUGAUAGGAGAGGAGAAAGUGUGAGUGGAAAUCUGACAACUCAGCAGAUUCCUCAGUCUUUUUUCCCACUAGGUAAAGAAACAUUGUCUUUGGGUUGGUGGUAAGGGAAGACAGAAGAAAUGGAGAAAAAAGGUAGAGCAGAAACCUGAGCCACAGCUGGAUUGAGGGCCCAUUCACUGGUGAGAAUGUGUGUGUGUGUGACAGGGGUGGGGGGUGGGGUGGGAGGGUAGAGAUGGACUAAGUCUAUAUGGAAAUAUACUAAGAAUGUUAAAGAGUCAUAUAAUGUAAGGAUCAAUUGUAUGUAUUGUUUCCAUUUAUGUUUCAUGUCUUCCCUCCAGUCCUGCUUCCCUUCCUUCCUUCCAUCCCCUUUCUUUUUCUUUUUUUAAGUACUGAUUAGAGUAUAUAAGUUUUUCUUUUUCCCUUGCUAAGUAAAUGCCCAUCUACCCCGUGGUGUGCUGCCAAGGAAAUAAAUUCAUGUGUAUGUACA